Molecule: long non-coding RNA, 284 nt
Organism: Cyprinus carpio (common carp)
Lineage: Eukaryota; Metazoa; Chordata; Actinopteri; Cypriniformes; Cyprinidae
Exons: 3
Source: RefSeq, a predicted model, not a curated record
AGAAACUCGCUGCUCUUUUGAUGGACUCUCACAGCAAACUGGAGAAAAUAAUGCUGAAUAACUGUGAGCUGACAGAGAAAAGCUGUUCAGUUCUAGCUACUGUUCUCUCCUCCAAAACCCAUCCUGAAAGAGAUGAACCUGAACAACAGUCGUCUGCUGGAUUCAGGAGUCAAAGAGAUCUGUGAGGGACUGAAGAACCCUGUGUGUGAGCUGAAGAUACUGAAACUUUCAGACUGCAGUAUCAGUGAAGAAGGUUAUAAAGCUCUGUCUUCAGCUCUGAGAUC